RNAcentral lists this ribosomal RNA (498 nucleotides) under uncultured bacterium. RNAcentral describes it as "partial 16S ribosomal RNA". It matches the Rfam family "Bacterial small subunit ribosomal RNA", at positions 30 to 523 of the family's 1533-position model. The record is from RNAcentral.
ACUGAACGCUGGCGGCAUGCCUUACACAUGCAAGUCGAACGGUAACAGGUCUUCGGAUGCUGACGAGUGGCGAACGGGUGAGUAAUACUUCGGAACGUGCCUAGUAGUGGGGGAUAACUACUCGAAAGAGUGGCUAAUACCGCAUGAGAUCUACGGAUGAAAGCAGGGGAUCGCAAGACCUUGUGCUACUAGAGCGGCCGAUGGCAGAUUAGGUAGUUGGUGGGAUAAAAGCUUACCAAGCCGACGAUCUGUAGCUGGUCUGAGAGGACGAUCAGCCACACUGGGACUGAGACACGGCCCAGACUCCUACGGGAGGCAGCAGUGGGGAAUUUUGGACAAUGGGCGAAAGCCUGAUCCAGCAAUGCCGCGUGCAGGAUGAAGGCCUUCGGGUUGUAAACUGCUUUUGUACGGAACGAAAAGCCCCGGGUUAAUACCCUGGGGUCAUGACGGUACCGUAAGAAUAAGCACCGGCUAACUACGUGCCAGCCGCCGGCGUAA